RNAcentral lists this ribosomal RNA (253 nucleotides) under uncultured bacterium. RNAcentral describes it as "partial 16S ribosomal RNA". It matches the Rfam family "Bacterial small subunit ribosomal RNA", at positions 524 to 776 of the family's 1533-position model. The record is from RNAcentral.
UACAGAGGGGGCGAGCGUUGUUCGGAAUUACUGGGCGUAAAGGGCGCGUAGGCGGCCCGCUAAGUCGAACGUGAAAUCCCCAGGCUCAACCUGGGAACCGCGUCCGAUACUGGCAGGCUUGAAUCCGGGAGAGGGAUGUGGAAUUCCAGGUGUAGCGGUGAAAUGCGUAGAUAUCUGGAGGAACACCGGUGGCGAAGGCGGCAUCCUGGACCGGUAUUGACGCUGAGGCGCGAAAGCUAGGGGAGCAAACGGG